Molecule: ribosomal RNA, 606 nt
Filed under: uncultured soil bacterium
Lineage: Bacteria
Description: bacterial SSU rRNA
Rfam family: Bacterial small subunit ribosomal RNA
Source: RNAcentral
GAGGGGCCCGCGUCCGAUUAGCUAGUUGGUGAGGUAACGGCUCACCAAGGCAACGAUCGGUAGCCGGCCUGAGAGGGCGGACGGCCACACUGGGACUGAGACACGGCCCAGACUCCUACGGGAGGCAGCAGUGGGGAAUUGUUCGCAAUGGGCGCAAGCCUGACGACGCAACGCCGCGUGGAGGAUGAAGGUCUUCGGAUUGUAAACUCCUGUUGCCCGGGACGAAUGCUCUCGACCUAACACGUCGAGGGGUGACGGUACCGGGUGAGGAAGCCCCGGCUAACUCUGUGCCAGCAGCCGCGGUAAUACAGAGGGGGCAAGCGUUGUUCGGAAUUACUGGGCGUAAAGGGCGCGUAGGCGGCCUGCUAAGUCGAACGUGAAAUCCCCGGGCUCAACCCGGGAACUGCGUUCGAUACUGGUUGGCUUGAAUCCGGGAGAGGGAUGCGGAAUUCCAGGUGUAGCGGUGAAAUGCGUAGAUAUCUGGAGGAACACCGGCGGCGAAGGCGGCAUCCUGGACCGGCAUUGACGCUGAGGCGCGAAAGCCAGGGGAGCAAACGGGAUUAGAUACCCCGGUAGUCCUGGCCCUAAACGAUGAAUGCUUGGUGU